UGUUUCUUUUUCAUUUCCUCUUCCAGUUGCUGCUUCACUUUCGUUUAUUUCUUACGGUCUGCCGCACGCCUCAACUCUCUCGGUCAACAACUUCCACCGAAAACCCCAUUGUUGACCCAGUCGCUCUUCCUCAACGCUACGAUGCAGCACCUUCAACAUCUACCGGAUUUCUAUGCCACGCGUGAGUCAACAAGCUGAAGCAAAGUCGGUUUCUCCAGCUCUUUGCCCGUGCAUCGCCUAGCAACUUCCUCCACGCGGCCAACACUCAACUGUUCCUCGAGUCUUCUGUGUGUGAAGUCAACCAGCAGCUCCGUGAUCUCUCUCUCCUUUCGCUCGUCUGCCCCUCUCAGUCGAAGACGCCAGCUGCCACUUGCCACCUUGCUGCUUCCUCUGAGUCAACCGAAGCUACCAACGUCAACCGCCCCCAUCUCCUUCGUUCCCCAGUGAAGCCCACAUCUCUCUCUCGCUGUCCCCACGCUGGUCAACGAACCAGCUACUUCUCCCCAUCUUUGACCGCAACACCCCCCAGCGAACGCCAGCAUCUGCUUCCGCCAUCUUCGAUUCUCUUGCCCAGCUUGCUGUCUCCAUCUGGCCGUGUGAAUUGCACGAAGGAAGCCCGUAAUUUCCUGCAGUCUUCGGCCCGCGCGUCUUCUGCAGCAACUUCAGCCCAUUGGAUUUCAAGCCCAGCGAAAUUUGUUGGUUCAUGAGUUCCGCGGAGCCAAAGCCCAGCCCAAGCAAUCGGCCCACAAGUCAGCAAUAGUUCGGCCCAGCUCAUUUAGUCUCGUAGGCCCAGUGAAUUGAGCCCAAUUUUAGCUCACUUGAAGCUCAAGAAGACAGCCCAUGAUCCAACUUUGCUUGGCCCAUCUUCAGGAGUCUUCAGCCCGUUGUCAGUUUAUUAGCUCAGCCCAAGAAUUCCAGCAGACCCAAGCCCAGAUAUUUCUGUGGGCUUGUAAAGUUUCUUGGCCCGGCCUGAGGGUGCAUCGAAGUCGCCGAAAUUUUGGAAUUCGGCCGCCGUUGCGUCGUCAUCGCAGUAUUCUGAUCUUCGCUUUGCCAAGUCCGUAGAGGGACCGGAGGAGGAUUAUCUGUUGGAUGACCCUGAUGACGAGCCAACAGAGGAUGAAAAGCUUGAAGAAAAUGAGCUUAGUGAAGAAGAGUCUCAAGAGGAUUGGGAUGAUGAUCCCGAGUAUGACCCGGAUGAGGACUGAGACCCCAUCCCGUUAUGUUAACCUUGUGUACUUGUGGAUAGGUGUUAGAUUAGGCCUAUGUUAAUAGUAUUGUAAGAUACUAUGAUGUGUGUGUGUAUAAAAGUGUGGUUGUGAAUUUCAAU
Molecule: long non-coding RNA, 1327 nt
Organism: Eucalyptus grandis
Lineage: Eukaryota; Viridiplantae; Streptophyta; Magnoliopsida; Myrtales; Myrtaceae
Exons: 2
Source: RefSeq, a predicted model, not a curated record